This 275-nucleotide ribosomal RNA is filed under the name uncultured prokaryote. RNAcentral's name for it is "partial 16S ribosomal RNA". It matches the Rfam family "Bacterial small subunit ribosomal RNA", at positions 524 to 798 of the family's 1533-position model. The record is from RNAcentral.
UACGUAGGGUCCAAGCGUUAAUCGGAAUUACUGGGCGUAAAGCGCGUGUAGGUGGUUCUGUAAGUAGGGCGUGAAAGCUCCCGGCUCAACUGGGAGAGGCCGUUCUAAACUGCAGAGCUAGAGGAUGGUAGAGGGAGGUGGAAUUCCAGGUGUAGCGGUGGAAUGCGCAGAUAUCUGGAGGAACACCAGUGGCGAAGGCGGCCUCCUGGACCAUUCCUGACACUCAGACGCGAAAGCUAGGGUAGCAAACGGGAUUAGAUACCCCGGUAGUCCCU